UACGUAGGUGGCAAGCGUUGUCCGGAAUUAUUGGGCGUAAAGCGCGCGCAGGCGGUCCGUUAAGUCUGAUGUGAAAGCCCACGGCUCAACCGUGGAGGGUCAUUGGAAACUGGGGGACUUGAGUGCAGAAGAGAAGAGUGGAAUUCCAGGUGUAGCGGUGAAAUGCGUAGAGAUGUGGAGGAACACCAGUGGCGAAGGCGACUCUUUGGUCUGUAACUGACGCUGAGGCGCGAAAGCGUGGGAGCAAACAGG
Molecule: ribosomal RNA, 252 nt
Filed under: uncultured bacterium
Lineage: Bacteria
Description: partial 16S ribosomal RNA
Rfam family: Bacterial small subunit ribosomal RNA
Source: RNAcentral